GAUUCUAUAUUUUCCAGAAAAGGUAAAAAAGUUGUGAUAAGUGAAAAUUCAUCCAAAGAAAAAGCAAGUAAAACAUACUCGGUAAAUGCAGCAACAUCAAUCCCCUUUCAUCUUUUCUUGGAAAACUGCGCCACUCCCUCCGCCGCCUUCUAUAACCCAUCGACUUGCAAGUCGCCACCACCCUCUCCGCCGCUCCCGGUGAAGUAUCUAUAAGUGAAAGAAAGGGAAGGCUCGUCGCAGUUCCGUACUAGCAAAAACCCAAUCGCCACUGCAAUUACCAGUUAAAAGUUCUCCUGAAUUUUGUUUGAGAGAGAAAGAGUCAGAUGGCUUAUGCUGCUGUUAUUUCUUUAAUGAACACAAUCGAGGGUCUCCGCAAUUCUUCUCGUAUUUCCUUUGAUGUCACCCCUUGUCCAGAAAUCAUAGAACCUGCUUACGAGGAGCUGAAGUCCUUGCAAGAAAUUCUGAAAAGAUUGGAUGGGAGCAGCAAGAGCAGUAUCAGGAUGAAUGCUUUGGAUGCUCAAAUCAGAGACGCUGUCUCACAAUUUGAAGAUAAACUUGAAUCCCAUAUCUCAAAUCAGUUUCUUUCACAAUCUGAUGAAAGCAUUGACGGAGAUGAGAGCCAUCCAUUGGUAGUCUCCAUUGACCUGCAGGAUUUAAGGCUAGAUUUUUGUUCUUUCGUCGAAAUGGCGAAGAGAAUGGAGGAGGAGUACGUUGAUCAAUUAAUUAACAUGACUGAAGAAGAAGAAGAUGAUGAUGAUGAAGUUGUUUCCUCCAGAAUUGAUUUCAGCGGAAAUAAGUUAAAUACAAAGAUGGUUGGAUUCUCUGAUCUCUUUGGAUUAAUCAAAGAUGGGAUCAUGGGGGAUGAGUGGUUCCGUAUUUUAGCAAUUGUAGGUAUGGCGGGCAUUGGUAAGACUACCCUGGUUAAUGAAAUUUUUCAAGACAAAAUGGUUUUGAGUCGAUUUGAGCGUUGUGCAUGGGUGAAAGUUGGUAGAAAAUUUCAAUUACAUGAGAUUGCUCGAAAUAUACUAGCUCAAGUGAAGCAUCCAGUCACGGAUGAAGAGAUUUCAGAAAAGGGAGUAUCUUUAUACUUGAAAGAAAUUUUGAAGAAGAAGCGUUGUCUCAUUGUGCUGGACGAUGUAUGGGACAGAAGUGUCUGGGAUUACCUGAGAAGUUCUUUUCCCUAUGGCUAUGAAGCCUAUGAUCCAAAUCCAACCUCUCAAAUCUUGCUUACAACAAGACUACAACAAGUUGCUAACGCCGCUUUGCAAGCAAAUUAUGAUGGCAUGAAAGAAAUGCGUUUUCUGAACAAGGAAGAAAGUUGGGAUCUUCUUCGUGACAAGGUGUUUGGUGAGGAUCCAUGCCCGCUUAAACUCGAGAAAGUUGGGCAGAAGAUUGCUGAAAACUGUGAAGGUCUUCCUCUUUUGAUCGUGAGGGUUGCCGACCUCCUGUCCAAAGCCGAGAAGACACCGGAGUACUGGAACAAGGUAGCAGAGAAACGAAAUUCAGUUUUCGUGGAUGCAUAUGAUCAAAUAUUAGAGGUACUAUAUCCAAGCUACGAGUAUUUACCUCAGCAUCUAAAAGCAUGCUUUCUAUAUAUGGGUGUUUUUCCUCAAAAUUAUGAGAUCCCUCGAUCCAAGCUCAUCAAUAUGUGGAUUGCCGAGGGUACAUUUCUUGAGCCAAGCAUGCUUGAAAAAUCAGAAUAUCACGCUGUUAACUAUUUGAAUGAGCUUAUUUCCAAUAGUCUUGUCAGCUCCCACCGAGCGACGUGUUGGUGGUUUGUAGGGCAAGAACUAAUGAAAACUAUCAGCAUUCAUUCUGCCUUGGGGCAUAUGGCUACCAAAAUUGCUAGGAUGAACAAUUUCUUUCAUGUCCUAAGUAGUCGUUUCGAUGGUUUAGAAGAAGAUAUGGAAUUCCAACGUCGACUAUGCAUCCACAAUAACAUUUUAUUUGGCAUCAGAGAGUUGUACGAGUCUGUGGGAAAUGAUUCUGCAUCCAUUGCACGUUCUCUCCUUUGUCUUGGUCCAUUUCAUCGAUAUCCAGUGCCGGUGUAUGUCAAUUCAAGGCUGCUGAGAGUUCUUGAUGCUCUUAACAUCCGUUUCUACGAGUUCCCACUUAAGGUACUAAAACUAGUUCGGUUAAAAUACCUUGCUCUCACAUACAACGGAGACCUCCCUACUUCCAUAUCCAAACUUCGGAACCUCCAAUUCUUGAUUAUCCAUCGCCACACGAGCAUUCACUCUUGUGGAUCUCUCUCGUCCUCGUAUGUCCCAUUGGAGAUAUGGGAUAUGCAAGAACUGAAGCAUAUUGAAGUCUUGGGAAGCAACCUACCAAAUUCUAAUGCUAGCGUUUCCUUAGAAAAGCUCUCUAAACUCUUAGGUGUGAGUGCUUACAGCUGUACAAAGGGGGUCCUUGAAAGAAUAUCCAAUCUGAAAAAAUUAGGAAUUCAGAUUGAACUGGUGGUUGAUGAUGAUAAUAGCGAACUCUUUGGUCGCUUGAACAGCAUUGGUAGUCUACGAAAUCUAGACUCCCUUAAAUGUGUUGUUGUGAAUCCUGAGAUGAGGUGUGGCGUCAUUCCUCCGCCCGCCCCUCGUUCCAUGUUCCCGCCAAAUCUGCGGAAGUUGACUCUGAGUGGCUUAGGCUAUCCUUGGGAAUACAUGAGUAUACUUGCUAAACUGGGAAAUCUCUCGGUGCUCAAAUUGCAAUGCUACGCCUUUCAAGGCCCGAGGUGGGAGAUAAAAGAGGACGAACCCUUUACCUUUGGAUUCCUUCAAAUUGAAGACACUGAUUUGGCUGAAUGGAAAGUGGCACCCGGUGGCAUGCCGUGUAUUAGGAAAUUGAGCAUAAAACACUGCUACAAUUUGGAAGAACUCAAUUGGGAACCUGAUAACUACGUGAUUAGUAAGAUAGAAGUAGUUGAUUGCAACCCUUCCCUUGUCGCCCGUGUAAACCAAAUUGAAGCAGCUCAGUUGGCAAGGCAAUAUCCUAACCUCAGCGUUUCUCUCCAUUCUUCUUGGGAUGAUGCGAAACGCAGGUCAACUCCAGCCCCAGUCGAAAGCAAAAAGACAUUUUGGGACAGGGUUCCUUUACAUUCUGGGAAUCUUCUCUGAAACCAGACAGAAAUGAUUACAAAUUGAAGAGUUUGCUGUGAAGGCUGAUGAAUACUUCGACUCUCGAUGAUAAGAAAGAAACUGAAUUGGGGAAUUUUCAUAGCUGCAACUCAAUUCACUUUUGGUACAGGUGCAGGUGUCGGACACGGGUGCGGGGAUGUUAUCCCGGCUGCUAAGUUUUCCAGAUUUAGGAUACGUGGACACAGGAAAAAAGGAUCCGCAAUUAGGAGACUGGUGCAGGUACAUGUUUGAGCAAUUUGUAUUAGAUUUUGUUUUCAUGUAAUAGAUAAUAAAGAAAAAACAUUUGAUAAAGUACUUAGCAUCAAGUUUCUUUGAUCAUUGUAUCUCAACACUUGAAAGUUUGAAGUUACUUAAAUGCAGGAUUUUUUUUUUCCAUUUUUUAGAAGACGGGCCAUUUUUACAAUUUAGCAAAAGUUCAAGAUAUUUUUUUUGCAUUUUUUAAAGUUUAAGCCAUUUUUUCAAAUCGCUUCAAAAUUCGACCCAUAAGCUACAAUUAGCCCAUCUAAAAAUAUUUUUGGUCUUUGUCAAAUAGUUAGUUGAAAUGUAUCCAAAUAUGAGUGCGCAUGUGAACGUGAUUGCUUGUUCAAACGCACACCAAUCUUGAAUGUUCCUUUCUUUCAACUUAAAAAAUAUUAUUUCCGCUGCCUGCUUUAUAGUAUUACUUUUCCAUUGGCUUCAAUAAUUGAGAAUGUGAUUUCUGAUAUAUAUUUAAUGCCAUUGACUUAUCAGCAAAAGUAGCCACUGACAUAAUUUAAGAUGGCAGUUUAAUGGCCAUUGCUCACAAUUAUUGAAAUAGUUGAUUUGCAAUUCCGUCAAAAUCCUCCCGCCGCUGCCGCUGCCGCCGCCACCAGCUAUCGUGCUAUGGCAGCUUAUGGUGCAGCGACUUCUCUCAAGAAUACAAUUCAGCGUAUUCUACAAUCGUCUCGCAUUUCCCUCGUUUCCCACUCUCCAGAAAUCUUACUACCCGCCUAUGAUGAGAUGGAUCGCUUGCAGAGAGUUCUGCUAUUAUUGGACAACACCAGCUACAGCAAGAUCAGGACGAAGGUGAAUGCUGCGGAUGAACGAAUCAAAGAAGCAGUUUGGGAAUUCGAAGAUUUACUUGAAUCCAGUAUCUUACAUCACAUUCUUCCACAACUCGAAAGCAGAUCGGGUGGCGAGAAAGACACCUUGUCACUCUCUGUAGAUCUGCAGAGUCUGCAACAUAGCGUUGGUGGCUUCGUCGAGAUGGUGAAGAUGAUGAAGGUGGAGUACGUCAUUGAAUUGGAGAGUAUGCCAGAAGAAGAAGGCGAGCCUAUUUCCUCAAGAAUUUAUUUUGGUGGAAUCAAGUCAAAGAUGGUCGGAUUAUCCGAUCAUUUUGAAAAAGCCAAAGAUCAUCUUCUUGAAGAAAAUAACAAGAAACCCUAUUCAAUUAUGGGGAUGGCAGGCGUUGGAAAGACAACUCUUGCUAAGCGUAUUUUUGAAGAUCCAUCUAUCCAGAGACAUUUCGAGUUUCGAGCAUGGGUCAAAGUAGGAAGAAAAUGUGAAUCUGAUGAACUAUUACGAUGCAUUCUAGCUCAAGUCGAUCCUAGCUCUUACCCAGUGCUUACCCAAGAAGAUGUUGAUGAGGAGGAAAUAGUUGAACUCUUGAGAGAAAGAUUAAAGGGUAAGAAAUGUCUCAUUGUGUUGGAUGAUGUAUGGGACAAAGAAGUAGAUUGCUUGACAAAUUGCUUGCGAGAAAAGAAUAUUGUUGGAAUGAUUCGAUUCUUACUUACAAGUAGACAACAAACAAUAUACACGGAGGAUGGGUACCAAAGAGUGCGCUUGUUGAAUGUUGAAGAAAGUAAGGAAUUACUUGGUGAGAAGGUGUUUGGCGAAGAUGGUUUCCCACUUCAACUUGCAGAAUUGGGAGAGAAGAUUGCCAAGAAAUGUGAAGGUCUUCCUCUUAUGAUAGUCACGGUUGCAGAGCUCCUAUCAAAAGCCGACAAGACCCCAGAAUAUUGGACUGAGGUACUCAAACAACAUAGUCCACUCUUCAUGGAUGCAUAUAAUCAAAUAUCAGAGGUACUUUUUCCAAGCUAUGACUACUUACCCCAACAUUUAAAAAUGUUUUUUCUCUAUAUGGGAGCUUUCCGUCCAUAUCUUGAUAUCCAUCCACUCCAGAUCAAAACUCUGUUGAGUGUUGAGGGAUUUCUUGAACCGAUUGGUUUAGAAAGUUUUGAAGAUUUUUCCAAUACAUGCUUGAGAAAGCUUCUUAUGUGGUAUCAUCUUGUUCUCGACACAACAACUUGUUGGUGGGAGGGAAAGUUUCGCGUGCAUUCUUGCUGGCAAUACUUGUGUAAGGUAGAAGCUAGUAGGAUCAAGUUUGUGCAUGUCUUACAAAGUUGUGAUGAUGUUAUAAAAGACCAACGCCGGUUGAGUGCC
Molecule: RNA transcript, 5528 nt
Organism: Salvia miltiorrhiza (redroot sage)
Lineage: Eukaryota; Viridiplantae; Streptophyta; Magnoliopsida; Lamiales; Lamiaceae
Gene name: putative late blight resistance protein homolog R1A-10
Exons: 4
Source: RefSeq, a predicted model, not a curated record